UAGAACCUGAGUGAACCGAACCAGAGGCCGAUCGGAAUAUCUCGAAGGCCCGUCUCACCCGCGAGUUCUCUCCCCCCUUGAUCGAACGCGUUGCCGCCGGAAAGCCCUAGCGCUUCUGUUCGUCGCUCUUCGCGGUUAGGUAUUGCCGGCGAAGUCGUCGCUCGCAGCGGCCGCUGCCUGCGGAAUCUUUUUCUUGUUGAAUUGACACAACCAAAAUUAGGAACAAAAGGGGCAGAAAGGAUGUUACUACGAGUCAGUUGGGACCUGGCUAAAGCUGGCUUUGGUAGCAGAAAUCUCACACUGUGGAAUAUGGCUUCCAAGCUUGGACUCUUGUCACUGAAGCUCUCCACUACUGCUGUCAGCAGCAACAAAGUUGUAGAUGUAGCUGCUCAAGAAGGUGAAUUUAGGGUGUUCAUAGUGGCUGGAGAGGUCUCUGGAGAUUCUAUUGCUUCUCGCCUAAUGGUAUCCCUCAAGAAGCUGUCUCCAUUACCAGUCCGAUUUGCUGGAGUUGGGGGGUCAGCUCAUUUACUUCUCUUUAAUUCUUCUUCAGCAUUGAUUAUAUGUUCUUGAUGUCUAAGGAAGGUUUACAAACCCUGUUUCCUAUGGAAGAAAUUUCAGUAAUGGGCUUAUGGGAAUUGUUACCACAUCUAAAUACAUUUAGGAAGAAGUUGAAAGAAACCACAGAAGCUGCUCUUCUUUUUCGACCACAUGUUGUAAUUACUGUUGACUCAAAGGGAUUUUCUUUCCGCUUACUAAAGCAGCUGAAAGCAAAAUAUUUGCUGGAAGACACGUGUCCUGUUCAUGUUCACUAUGUUGCACCAUCCUUUUGGGCAUGGAAAGGUGGUGAAGCUAGGCUUCAAAAUUUAUGUAAAUUUGUGGACCAUAUGUUGUGCAUUAUUCCCUUUGAAGAAGAAAUUUGCAGGUUGAAUGGAUUAGCUGCUACGUAUGUUGGCCAUCCAUUGUUGGAAGAUGCUCUAAUGCUUAACUUGCUCACUUAAUAUGAUGUUUGCCCAAUGCCCUUGAACGUCAAAGUGAAGAAAUUCAACCAAUUGUGGGUAAUUGGUGUGAGUAAUUAUGACUUUCUUAAGGUAGUCAAACUCCCUCAUCUAAUUAAUGACAUAUCUGAAUAGAUUAAUUAAAUUUCCACUAUGUUUGUCUACUGUCCAACAAAACCACAGCCAAGCCUGGCAAAAUCAGCAGGGAAAGAGGACUCUGUUGAGCUCGACGCUAGUCCAACUUUGUCAAACAAGUCUCUGCUGAUCUUGACCCCAGUCCAACUUUGUUAAAUGAUUUGAGAGGUGUAGAAUAAGUGGGAGCUGGCUCGCCAAAUCACUAACUAAACUUUAUUUGAACAAAGGAGUUCUGAAGCAAGGUUUUAGAGCUACUGACCCCCACAAUGGAUCGGUGCCUUGGAGGCUGUUGAAAAGGUAAAAUUUCCUUCAUAGCUCCACUACCAAAAAUACUGAUCAGAUGCAAAUUUACCUCCAAUGCUUGAUUCUAUUAUAGUGCUUUAUCAGAGUAUCUUUAGCCACUGGUCAAGAGAACUUGAGCCUCUACAAUGGCUGCCAGUAUUGGAUACCCACUACAAUCAUCUUUGAGCCACAGGAGACAAACAUAUCCUGAGACUGAUUGCAGAACACCCUUUUAUCCAUCACAUACACCAGAAGAGCUCUUGACUCAAGACACUUGCUUCAACUGGUAUAUUAGAGUAGCAGAAGUCCCAUGCCUGCAUGAAUCCCUGCCAUAAAUGAGACCAUUUGCCAUCAGCUGAUAUUACCAUCCAAUAGCCAUUUUGUAGAUAUGUGACUUAGUAGUUGAAACCAAGGCAGCAAUGGCUUAAUCAGCCAUUUCGACCACCACCAACACAAUAAGGCUAGAUUGAACUCAACAACCCUAUUCCACUAUAGUCUUGGCCAACAAAGAAAUUUCUAUGAUGCCAAAUGCCAAACUUUAGAGCUUUUCAUUGUAUUCUGUUGUCCAAAAAAGUUCCUCAGCAUCUGCUUCAGUUGCUUCGUAAUCCUUUGUGGCAAGACAUAAACUAGUAAAGAAGAUAGGUGCUAUAUCCUUCUCUUAGGAAGCUAUCUCAUCUUGAUUAUGUUUAGCGUGUCAAUCAGUCCAUACACCAACUAAUAAAGUAUGAUUUUGUUUUUCAUUUGCUGUGCUAUUAAUAGUCGUGUAUCAUCAUGAUAAUUUGUUAUUACUAAUCUGACUGUAUUUGUUUUUUAAUAAUUUGUUUGUUUGUUUAUUACUAUUUGAUCUCAUUGAUCUUACACAUAGAUCUUAUGAUUCUCGCCCAACAAAGUUACAUUAUCAAUGGAUUUUACCUACUCAAUUCUCCUAUAGGAAGAGUGACAACCUUUCCCUCAAUCACCCUGAAAUCAUGAUCACUUCAGCGAUCAAAAUUCCUUUGCGGUCGUCACUCAAUGCCUCUUUAAUCAUCCACUGUUCUACCUCCACUUCCACCUUGCUUUAGCUUAACCGGAAUGAACUCCUCUUCUAUGAAAUCUAAUGCUUUUUAUCCAUUUUUUAGAUCUAUUCUCAUCUACGUUUUCUUCUUUUUACCAUGUCUAUCCUUAGUUGUAUACAUUAAAAGACUAUUGAUUGAAUGAAACAAGAGAUCUUGAUCGAUUCAUCCAACUUGUGUCCAAUUACAGUCAAUAUUUCUAGUUUCCUCAUGGUGUGUGAUCAAUUGAUCAAGAAAUUGGGAAAGCACAGCCUUGGUUAUUUUCCUAUUUUCAAUCUAUGGUUGGUGUUUUCAUCCGACAAGUAUUAAUGAUAUAUGGCUGACAUGUUAAAUAUGUUAUUAUAGUUAAAGGUGGCCGACAGGAACUUAUGAAAUAUUCACAUAUUGCCAAGUAGAUACAACAUGCAACCUUAUGUGCAGAUUCAUAAAGAAUAUACCAGAUUAGUUAUAUUCACAAGUAGUCUAAUUUAAUACCACUAAUAAUUUAGUCAAGAUAACCUAUCUCAUAUCCAAAUUAAGGAAAUGCUAAUAGGAUCUAUUUUUGCAAUAACCUAAAAAUGUGUUGCCAUCAUUGCUUAAUGCCAUCAUCAUGAUAAUCACCGUUGAAUUCUUCACAGUCAUCAUGCUUAGAGAGUCUAUUAGCUCAUAAGGAAACCAUAUCUCCCUUAGAAGUAAGUCUAUCUUUGGUCUCUUAUUGCUCUAAGCCAUCAAUCUCUUGUUCCUUUGCAUUUGUCUUGUCUUUGUACUCUAACCUAAUGAUCUAUUUGGUUUUGAUCAACCCAUGUCUGAGAUAAUCAAGCCAUUCCGACUCAGCAUUUUUUGACAUCUUGUGUUGUUUAUUCAAGCUGAAGAUGAGUUUUCUGAUUAUUCUAUAUUUUAUUGCACAUAGCAUCAAUUAAACCUUGAGCCAUUUGUAUGUUUGAUACUGUCAUGCUCAUUGGAACUGGUUUAUUAGGAAUCUGCUUUUAUGUCAAAUAAUUUGAAGGUGCAUAAGUCUGGUGAUGUUUUUCGUCGUGAACAUGGGAUACCUCCUGGUAAGAUUACUUUCCUUUGAUAAUCAUUUUAUUACUGUUUCCUCGAGAUUAAUAUUUCUUGAUUAUAGAUGGGAAAAAAAUUCAAAUCUGUUGUACACUUCUCUAUUUUUAUACUGUGGGGGUCCAGGGCUUGUACAUGGCUCAGAUUUUAAUAAGUUAGAGAUUGGUUAUCCUUGGUAAUGCUUAUGUGACAAUAUGCAGUAGUAUGGUUUCUCACUCAAUAAAAGCAACUAUUUUGAGGCUUUUAUUACCAAUCUCAAUUUCAAUCGUCAUGCAAAUCUGAAGAAUAAAUUAUUUAGUUUUUACUUCAGUAGAGGUCAUCUAAGUAUGUUUUUCUGCUGUUCAUUAGCCUUGAUUUGUGGGAAUUAGUUUACCUAACCUGAAUUUACCUGGCAGGAGCAACAGUUAUUACUUUACUUCCUGGAAGCCGACUCCAAGAAGUUAAACGUAUUCUUCCAAUAUUCUUGAGAACAAUAGAAAUAAUAAGAAACUCAUUCUCAGAGUUAUCAGUUAUCAUUCUUGUUGCACCAAAUAAUCAUGUGAAGGACUUGGUGGACAAGAUAAUCAAGUCAUCAUCACUGCCAGCCAUACUUGUCCCUGGUGCAUCAUUAGACCAGAAAUAUGAGGCAUUCAGUGCAAGUACGGCUGCUUUAUGUGCUUCAGGAUCAGCUGUUAUUGAGUUGCAACUAGCAAGGCUACCUUGUAUUGUUGCAUACCAAACUCAUAUUUUGACAGAAUUGGUAAUUCAUUAUAGAACAAAGUUGAAGUAUAUAUCACUUCCAAACAUUCUUAUGAAUACAUCCAUUAUUCCAGAGGUCCUUUUCCGAGAUUGUACACCUGGGAAUCUAGCCACAAUCUUAAGUGAAUUGAUUCUUGAUAAGAAAAUCCAAGAACAACAAACUUCAACUGCUGAAAAGUUCCUAGGGCUUCUCUGUCCUCCCAGUAAAAAUGUGAACAUGUUGCGUGGAAAUUUGUCAUCUGGAAUCAUUUGGUGCCCUAGCAUGAUUGCAGCCUCAACCAUAUUAUCCAUUCAGAAACAAAAGCGAGACUAGAAUCAAGUUUGUUUCAAUACUGUUGUUACAUUCUUUGUUGUUGUUUCGAUGUGCCGACCUAGCCCAAGAGAUUCACCCUUUAGCCUAGGGUCUUUGAACAAGUGUGAUCAAUAAAUUUACAUAUAUUUUAGAAAUCAAAAGAAGUCUCAAUCAAA
This is an RNA transcript of Zingiber officinale, 4705 nucleotides long. It is a transcript of the gene named probable lipid-A-disaccharide synthase, mitochondrial, with no coding region annotated. NCBI's taxonomy places the organism in Eukaryota, Viridiplantae, Streptophyta, Magnoliopsida, Zingiberales, Zingiberaceae. The record is from RefSeq and is a predicted model, not a curated record. The transcript is spliced from 8 exons.